UGUUGUUGCAUAUAUUAAUUUCUCUGCGAAAGGUGGUUUCUGCAGAUCUUAGAAGAUGCUAUGGGCCUGGGGAAAACUGUAAUGACAAUUGCUCAAAUACUUGCUAGGCCGGGCAAGGGUAUCCCUGAGGAUAGGUGAGGACAUGCCUAUUACUCAGCAUUCUAGGAACAGAAGGAUUAAAGGAUGAACGUGAAGCCCAUUCAAUGCCAGAUAGCAUUUCUGUUUUUGUUCAUUAUGGUGGGGACAGAAGUAAUGACCCAAGAGUGAUAGUGGAACCAGAUGUGGUCUUGACAACCUAUGGUCUUCUAACUGCUGCAUAUAAGGCUCAUAUUCCAUGAAGUUGAUUGGCAUCGAAUUGUACUGGAUGAAGCACACACCAUAAAAUCCUGGAGAACUGUGAGUGCUAGGGCUGCAUUC
Ipomoea nil (Japanese morning glory) is the source of this 417-nucleotide long non-coding RNA. RefSeq lists it as uncharacterized. The record is from RefSeq and is a predicted model, not a curated record. The transcript has 3 exons. Lineage: Eukaryota; Viridiplantae; Streptophyta; Magnoliopsida; Solanales; Convolvulaceae.